Molecule: ribosomal RNA, 253 nt
Filed under: uncultured bacterium
Lineage: Bacteria
Description: partial 16S ribosomal RNA
Rfam family: Bacterial small subunit ribosomal RNA
Source: RNAcentral
GACAGAGGUGGCAAGCGUUGUCCGGAAUUACUGGGCGUAAAGCGCGCGUAGGCGGCUAGAUAAGUCCGGUGUGACAUCCCACAGCUUAACCGGGGAACGGCAUCGGGGACUGUUUAGCUUGAGGACGGGAGAGGAGAGCGGAAUUCCCGGUGUAGCGGUGAAAUGCGUAGAGAUCGGGAGGAAGGCCGGUGGAGAAGGCGGCUCUCUAGAACGUCCCUGACGCUGAGGCGCGAAAGCGAGGGGAGCAAACAGG